GCGGCCCCUACUCCCGCGGGGGAGGUCAGCGCCCCGGCCGCCGCUCCGCACCCGCCGCCGCCGCCCUCCCUCGGCUCGCCGCGUCCCCCGGGCCGCGUCCGCAGGCUGAGCCCAGGCGGGCCGCGGCGAGCACCCCACAGCUCCGCGCCCCAGCCCGGCCCCGCUCCCAACGGAAAGUUGGGCUGCGGCGGGCUGCGUUCGGGAAAGAGCGAGGCGGCAUGAAGGGGCACCGAGGGGUCGCCUAAGACACCGGGGAGGCGGAGCCGCGCGCGGGGACAACUUCGCCCCGGGCGCGCAACCCCCGGCCGGGCUCGCGGUGGUUCCUCCCGUCCCUCGGCCUCCCCCGCCGAUCGCGACGCGGACCUUGGUCCCGGCGGCUCCGCGGCGGUGACACGAGCCCGCCUCAGCCGCCGCCUCAGUCUCCUGCCGCGCCGCCACCUUGCCCGCACCAUGGAGUUCUCGGAGAGGAAAAGAAGCAGGAAAUCCCAGAGCUUCAAACUGGUGAGCCGAGAUUAUCACCAUGAGGUGUAUAAAAUCUCAGAAUUCAGCAAUGAUGUUAAUGGGGAGACCAAAGAGACACAACCCAUUUACUUAGGAGACGAAAGCAUGGAAAUUAAAAAACAAAUUACGGGGAUGAGAAGAUUACUGAAUGACAGCACUGGAAGGAUAUAUCAGCGUGUCGGCAAAGAAGGAGAAAAAUUAAAACAAGAGCCGCAGGUUGUGGAUUUAGUCUGGCCUCAGCGGUCCAACUCUUCCACCGAGGCCUCACAGGGCCUCCACUCUAAUUCACGUGGGGCGUGGAAUGAACUACCAACCCAAAGCGGGCAGUUCUCAGGGCAGUCUGGUCCACGCUCCAGAACCUUCCAGACUCAGCCCCACAUCUCUGCAAGUUCCAAUGGAGAACUUCCAGGGGUGAAUUCAAUAGUCGGAUCCAACUGCUGUACUUGUAACUGCCAGUCAACCUUGCAGGCCAUUCUCCAAGAGCUCAAGACCAUGAGGAAAUUAAUGCAGUUUCAAGCAGUUGGAACUCAAAACAGACAACAACCCCCAAUUUCCCUUAUGUGCUCCCAGCGAACCGCCGUCUCACGCAAGAGAAAUAAAAAGAAAAAAGUGCUUCCGAAGACUGUGCAACCUGUGACGGCUGUGGAACCAAAGCCCAGUCCCUUGGAAACUGAGAAGAAGCCAGCAGCCUCGGCCACAAGGCCACCAGGUCUCCAAGCUGCAGAGCGCACCUCCACCGAGGAGAACCACGUCCUGGGAUUUGGCAUUGUUCUGGAAUCGCCGUCCUCAGAUAAGUGCAACUUGCUGAAGGCUUCGAUGUGUUUAUGCCCAAAUCUCAGCUGGACUCUAUACUGUCAAACUACACUCGCUCAGGAAGCCUUCUGUUUAGAAAACUGGUGUGUGCAUUUUUUGACGACAAGACUUUGGCUAACUCCUUACCCAACGGAAAGCGGAAAAGAGGGUUCAAUGACAACCGGAAAGGACUAGACCAAAACAUUGUGGGUGCAAUAAAAGUCUUUACAGAAAAUUACUGUACUGCGAAUCAUGUGGAUAAACUUCCUGGCCCCAGAGACUGGGUGCAGAUUCUGCAGGAUCAGAUUAAACUGGCCAGAAGAAGGUUGAAACGAGGCUCAGCAGAGGUAGCUGACGGUGAUGAAAGACUGGACCGCAUCUCUCUACCCCCAACAGGUCAUACAUUUGUCAUCAAGAGAGAGACCCCAGAGGACCCAGAACCAGGUUCCGUGGCCUAGACUUGCAUUCUGGAACAUUCUUCGUUUCCUCCAAGGUCCAUGUAGCAGCUACAGAUCCUGCAGUGUGGGUGUUCUAUGAUGGCUUGUCCUGUCCGAAUAAUUUCUUUGUAACAUGUGCUAUCACAACUCUGGUUUGGCAUAAUACUUAUUUAAAGAACCAUGCUUACAGUUGCUACCCUGUAAGCGUCCCGUGUGUGUGACCCACCGUAAAGAAGCCAUUCCCUUCCUGUCUCUGUCCGUUCACAGACUGGGUGUGAAGACAGCAGUCUUUCUAAACAUAUUUUAUUGUGAAUUGCUUAGCUGCAUGCAGAGAGGAAACCUUCUCUUCCAGGACUGACAGAGGCUACAAGGCAGCGCUAACUAGCCCCUCUUCAGCUUAGAGAAGGAAACAGUUGUUCUGAGAGACAGGAGAGCUCCUACCUGGCCAGUGAAAUCGUUUCUGACAUCAGUCAUAGUAACCCGGACAGACAUUUGGAACUGGAGAAGUACAAGCGAUGUAAGAAUCCUUAGGAAAUAAAAUCUUUCACAUAAUUUAUAAUGACGUGAUGACAAAAAAAUAAUAAUAACUCAAAGUAAGCAGCCAUCUGCUUGGGAGCCGUCAAGCAUUUAAACAUGGUUUAAACUGAGCAGCCUGGGCUGUGACCAUUUUCAUGUUCAUUCUGUAGUCUGUCUGGUCCCUCACCCGCCUGCCUUCUGCUUUUUGUAAGAAAAAAAAUCUGGCUUUAUUUUAAAGAAAUCUUUGCUGUGGGGAUAAUUGUUUUACAGACAUAUUUACCUCCACAUUUGUUUUGCUAAUGAAAUCAUUCAUUAAAAAUACCACCUUAGAAAGCCUUGCGUUUACACCGUAUUUAUGGUAUAAAGCAAACUGCCUUGAAUCUUGGGCACUUGACCCAAAGGCCAAAAAUAGCUGUUAAAGAAAAAAAAUGUGACUCUCAUCCACCAAACCCCAGGGAUAAAAACCUGCCAGGACAAAAGCUUAGCCUUUGCCCUACUCUUGGUGCAGCGAUGGGUUAAAGCCGACAGUGUGCUUCAAGGACUCGGUGCUUCAAGGACCAGUCCCACUCCGAGCUUUGCCAGUGAGAGAGCCGAGAGGUGGGUUGCCUAGGACCAAGGUACCCUUCGUGGCCAGCUGGCCAUAGAACCUGGAUAUCCUUGGGACCCUGUCCAUUGCACUGCACCAUGCCACACGGAACACUAAAGAUAGGAUCAGAACACUAUUCCACUGAGACCAGCUAGGGAAAGUGAUAGGUGAUAUCCCUGGAAUGUGACAAAGUCCGCUUCUAGGUGUUGCUCCUACAGUCAGUCUCCAGAGGAGAUAGCAACAUCUCACAGAUGCACCUUUUAUUUCUCUCCGCUCGGAAGCUAUGGGGACAGCGUGGAAAUCACUCCCAUCCUGCAGUCAGCUACCAUAGAUUUCCGUUUCCCGCUGGCCCUAAUCCCUGUGUUUUAUCCAGGGGUCUGAUGAGCUGCAGGCAGACCAGGACUCUCAUUCACUCUGCAGCAGGUCCUGAAAAAGAAUUGUCUUCUGCCUCCCAGGAUGAAAUACUGCUCAAGGGGACUAGAGAAGCUGAGUUAGCGCCUGUCACUUGAUUAAAUGAGGGUGAAUUUGUUUUCAGUACAGGGAGAACAUAGACUCACAACUGGAGGUCAGUUGGGUGUGAACAAUAAACCUUCAGAAAACACUUCCUUCCAAGCCUGGGGUGACAGCUUGGAGUUUUCAGUACUUGAGGAGGGGUGGGAUUGUUUGACUCACAGAUACGUGCAAUGGGUUCACAGGUUGGGAAGGCAGAGCAAAACUGUAACAGUACAACCAUACUUUGUAAGUUUACAUUGUAUUUGUGUUAACUUACCGUGACUACUGUUCAGCUUUGUUUAGAAACCCUUUUUAUAGGCUUUCUUAGCAAAAAAACAAAAAAGUCCAUAUCGAUGGAUGACACGUCUCAGUCUUCUGUACAUAUAUUUUAUUAAUAUGUAAAUAUUCAGAUUUUUAAAAUUAUAAUGUUCUUUUAAAAGAAUUCAAUGCAAAGCUAGCUGUGAAAAUGGUGUGUAACACUGUGUUGUGAUUUCAACUCCCAAGACGCCCUUUAUGUCCAUUCUGGAAAAAUACAAUAAAUUACUUUAAUUGAAUGCACAUGAGUCUUGCUUGCUACCCAGUCUUCCUGUUCCUUAUGAAGUCAAUGCUGUUCAUUAAUUAAAAGCUAUUUAUGAA
Molecule: RNA transcript, 3960 nt
Organism: Mus musculus (house mouse)
Lineage: Eukaryota; Metazoa; Chordata; Mammalia; Rodentia; Muridae
Gene: Bend7
Gene name: BEN domain containing 7
Exons: 9
Source: RefSeq, marked validated